RNAcentral lists this ribosomal RNA (253 nucleotides) under uncultured bacterium. Its description in RNAcentral is "partial 16S ribosomal RNA". It matches the Rfam family "Bacterial small subunit ribosomal RNA", at positions 524 to 776 of the family's 1533-position model. The record is from RNAcentral.
UACAGAGGUCUCAAGCGUUGUUCGGAUUCAUUGGGCGUAAAGGGCGCGUAGGUGGCGUUGUAAGUCGGGUGUGAAAUUUCGGAGCUUAACUCCGAAACUGCAUUCGAUACUGCGGUGCUUGAGGACUGGAGAGGAGACUGGAAUUCAUGGUGUAGCAGUGAAAUGCGUAGAGAUCAUGAGGAAGACCAGUGGCGAAGGCGGGUCUCUGGACAGUUCCUGACACUGAGGCACGAAGGCCAGGGGAGCAAACGGG